Molecule: non-coding RNA, 1152 nt
Organism: Sus scrofa (pig)
Lineage: Eukaryota; Metazoa; Chordata; Mammalia; Artiodactyla; Suidae
Source: RefSeq, a predicted model, not a curated record
CUGAGCGCCAGAAAAUUUCAGAGACACCCCAAAAUCAUGCAGUCAGGAAGAGAGCCAAGAUUCAAAUGCAAGACUGUCUAAUGCCAAGCUUGUUUGUAGUCAUUAUGCUUUUCUGUUGCUGUUAAGGAAAGACUCAAGGAGAUAGUUAUAAUCAGGAAGAAAGACAAUGGCGAAACAAAUACGGACCCAAACUCUGCAGUCACUGGGCUGGGCUCACUAGAUAAGGGAUAUCCUCUGAGGCUGGGGCCAGGAUGGAGAAUCACUGUGCUGAUUAAAUUGCCGUGGACAAAACAAAAUUACUUCAUUGGAAUCAAACCAAAACCUAGCCAUGACUAAAUCCUCAGAACAGUGAGGAUCUGGAGGGGUAGAUAUGUUAUUAAAGCUAUGCGAUGCAAGGAAAACUAGAGAGAAAAAAGGAAACAAGGAAGCAAGAGACACAUGGGAAAAGGGAGGAGGAGGAAAUGGUGGACUGGCUAUCUACAGAUGCUCUAACAACAUGGCAGCCUGCUUCUUCAAAGCUAACAGAAGAAUCUCUCACUCCUGACGCCGAAGAUUAUGAGUUUUAAAUACUGUAAGAUAGCUAUCUCCUUCCAUUCCAAGUCCAGAGAACGGAUGAAUUCUUCCACAAAUGGCCUGCCUUCUCCCAAAGCACCUGCCUUUUAAAAGUGGAUACAGCAGGGGAGGAAAACCUUAAUGCAAAGAAAGGAAUGAGAGGGUGAUUGUGAAAUACUACGCUGAGAGAGAUACUCUGAAGAUGAUGACUGUGCUGGGCAGAACAUGGUCCUCCAAGAUAUCCAUCUAUUAAUCCCCAGAACCUGCAAAAGGUACUUUGCAGACAUGUUGAAAUUAAGGAUUCUGAGAUGGGAGAUUAUCCUGGAUCACCUAUGUUAGGUCCAAUGUAGUCACAAGGGUGUUAUAAGGGAAAAGGGAGGCAGGAGGGUCACAGCCAGAGAAGGAAGGAGAUGACAAUGAAACGAUGCAUUUGCUGACUGCCAGAUGCUGAAGAGUCUAGAAGCCAAAAAUGGCAAGGAAAGAGAUUCUCUUUUAGAGCCUCCAGGAUGAAGACAACUCUGCUGACCCCUUUAUUUUAUUUUAUUUUAUUUUUUUGCUUUUUUAGGGCCACAGCCAUGGCAUAGAGAGGUUCCCAGGCUA